Molecule: non-coding RNA, 121 nt
Organism: Picea glauca (white spruce)
Lineage: Eukaryota; Viridiplantae; Streptophyta; Pinopsida; Pinales; Pinaceae
Source: Rfam
ACAUGAUUAUAGCAUAGCAUUAAUGCACCAGAUCAAAUUAUAACUCUGUAGUUAAGCAUGCUCAGGAUAGAGUAGUAUUGGGAUGGGUGACCACCCGGGAAGUCCUAGUAUUUUACAUGUC